Molecule: non-coding RNA, 73 nt
Organism: Myotis davidii
Lineage: Eukaryota; Metazoa; Chordata; Mammalia; Chiroptera; Vespertilionidae
Source: Rfam
GCCGGUUUGGCUCAGUGGAUAGAGCAUCGGCCUGCGGACUGAAGGGUCCCAGGUUCGAUUCCGGUAAAGGGCA